CGCGUAGGCGGCUUGGCAAGUCUGGUGUGAAAUCUCACAGCUCAACUGUGAAACUGCAUCAGAAACUGCUUGGCUAGAGUGCGGGAGAGGAGAGUGGAAUUCCCAGUGUAGAGGUGAAAUACGUAGAUAUCUGGAAGAACACCAGUGGCGAAGGCGAUCUCUUGGUCCUUUACUGACGCUAAGGCGCGAAAGCGUGGGGAGCAAACA
This 207-nucleotide ribosomal RNA is filed under the name uncultured bacterium. Its description in RNAcentral is "partial 16S ribosomal RNA". It matches the Rfam family "Bacterial small subunit ribosomal RNA", at positions 568 to 774 of the family's 1533-position model. The record is from RNAcentral.